This 8500-nucleotide long non-coding RNA is filed under the name Gossypium barbadense (sea-island cotton). Its description in RNAcentral is "long non-coding RNA (GBAR_LNC021505)". Lineage: Eukaryota; Viridiplantae; Streptophyta; Magnoliopsida; Malvales; Malvaceae. The record is from RNAcentral.
UAGCAACUUAGUCCUCAACCUUUUUCUUUCCCCAGUCUAACUCCGGAUUUCGUUCUUCUUGAUCUACAAUAGCAAAUUUAGCUUAUUUAAUACUCACAUUCAUCAAAACAGUCCUUGACGAGAACUUUAGAAAAAUUAUGAUUUUGCCCUUAAACUUUUUUAUAUUUACAUUUUAGCCCCAAAGCUCGAAAAUUAAACUUCAUCCAUUAUUCUUAUGUUUUAUGACAUGCUAAACAUCUUUCCCUUCUAUGGAAACAUCAAAUUCCCACUCUAACAUUUACUUAUGAAUAUCAUGUAUUUUUACCGAUUAUAUCGUUUUACUCGUUUUCACUUAAAAUUGCCUAGCAAAAGUUGUUUAACAUAAUUUCAGGCUUCAUAUUAUACCAUAAAACAUCAAAAUAAACUCAUUUCACCUAUGGGUAUUUUUCCAAAUAUGAACCCUAACAUGAAUUAAUGGUAGAAUAAACUAAAUCGAGCUACGAGGACUCCAAAAACGUUAAAAAAACAUUAAAAACGGGGCUUGGAAGGACUUACUAUGAGCUUGAGAAAGUGAAGAAACCCUAGCUAUGGUGUCCCUUGAAGUUUUGGCCCUAUGGAGAAGAUGAGCACAUUUUGCCAUCUUUUUCCCUUUUAAUUCUUUUUAUUACCAAAUGACUAAAAUGCCCUUCAUUAAAACUUUAGUUAUUUUUAUCUAUGCAUGCCCAUUUUUGUCCAUGAAAAUCUAAUGGUCUAAUCAUCAUUAAAGGACCUCUGCUUCGAUUAUGCACUUCAAUUAAAUCAUGUAUCAUCUAAAGCUCAUAUUUACCCACUUUUGCAAUUAAACCCUAAUAUGCAAUUCAGACAAGCAACCGCUAAAAUUUCUUAUCGGUAUUCUAACACAUGCAUCCAAUCAAUCGAUAAAUCAUAAAAAUUAAUCAUAAUAAACUUUUCUAUCUCAAAUUCGUGGUUCCGCAACCACUGUUCCGUUUAGGCUCUAUUUCGAGAUGUUACAUGACAGUAUCGAUGCGACUUUGCAACAAAUCUGUCAACACCUCCACAUAUCCUAUUCCGCACCGGCAACUCACGAUAUCGAUGCCUCUGACGAUAAGGAUCAUUGAGUUUAUUUAUUUUCCUUUUAGUUUUAGUUUUCGUUUUAGUUUUAUUUUUAUCUUUAUUUUUAUUUUUAGCUAUUUUAUUUUUAUGUUCUUAAACUUCUUUCGUUUAUUAUCUUUUGAACUAUAUUUUUAGUCUUUAUGGUUGUUUCUAAUUGAGUUGUGACAUCUUAAUCUUUUUCACUAUUUGUGUUUAUUUUCUUAUUAGUUUGCACAGAAUCAUGCACUUCACUUUCAAUUGCCUACAAUUCCUGUUUUUACUAUUCUGGCAAUUUCAUCCAUAUUUAGGGCAGUUUCAGUUUUCUCCCUCUCUUAUGAUAUUCUGCUUAUUCUAAUUUUAUAUCUAUUUGUACAUUGAGGACAAUGUACAUCUUAAGUGUGGGGAGGUUAUUCCUAUAAUUAUUAGAAAAUCCCUAAAUUAUUUCUUGUAUUUAAAUAAAUUUCUCACACUUCAAUUAGAAUGAUUUUUUUGUUGAUUUGGGAUUUUGUUGAUGUGUUUUGGAUUAAUUUGUAGAUAUUUGUGCAUUGAUUAAUUUAAAUUUUAAAACAUAAGAGAAUCAAGCAUGAUAAGUUACUUUUCAGAAUAGAAAAUUUUAUGUUGUUUCCCUAAAUUGAAGUAUUAUCUUGAAGUUUGAGAUUUGCAAGUUUGACAUCAAAACCAUGAUUUUUUGUGAGAUUUUGAGCCUUUAGAGCAUAUAUUUUUCGUGCUCAUUCUAUUAUUGGUUAUGAAUGUGCCAACUUGAUUUUUUAUUCUAGAACUUACUUCGAUUAUGCAUGUCGAGACCACACCUUUGAUUUGAUAUACUAAGAUGAUAAAGGCACUUAGGUUUUAACCCACUUAUCCCAUAAAAAGCUUACCUUUCUAAUUAACCCUUAGUGAACCCCUUUGAGCCUAACACACUGUUUCUUGAUUAACCUGUUAAUAUUAACCCAUAACCCAUUUUUUGUUCAUUGUGACUUUUUUCCAUUUUAUUAACUCCCUUUUCUGUCGAUAUUUGAUUUGGUUAGUUUCCUAACUGUGCUCUUCUGUUUGAUUUGCUGAAUUAUUUCUGAUUGUUCCAGAUAAAAAAAUUGAAAAGCAGAAAUCGAAAAAAAUUAAAAAUAUAUAUAUUGAUUAUUAAUUAGUUCUAUGUUGAUUGAGCUUGAACAGUUAAAUCCAUAUUUUGAGAAGAAGCUCGUUUUUAUUCUUGAAUAGUUCUUGAUUGGUGCACUUGAUUUUAAUUCAACAUUUGUUUUUCUUUCUACUUUGGUAAUUUAUCAACUCAAUCUCGAUUAUAAUCAACUUUUCUAACCUUUCUCCAUACCCUUAACCUAAGCCUCAUUACAACCUCUUAAAGACCUUUUGAUUUGUAUAUCAUAUCAUUUUAUAGUGGUGGAGAUUUGAUCUUCAUGUAAGCCUAUGACAUUUCUUAUUCAACUUUUGAGUCCAUAUUGUUGAACUUUAAACACUUUGAGUACUUGGGUGAAUCUUUAGUAAGGAUGUUAAUUCUUGUCGAUUUUAAAUUAAGGGUAAUUACAUAGAUGACGGGAGAUACAUAUGUUUUCGUGCUUUAAAAAUUUUGACUUGGAUUGUUUGGAUCUUUAGUGCUCCUUUAGUUGAAUUGGCAAUGCACAACCUUUUGCGAAUUAUUUUGAAACAUUAUUGAUGAGAAAUACAAGUUGAGAAAGAUUAAUUUUAAUAUGAGUUGAUGAUUUUGCUUGAGGACAAGCAAACGCUAAACUGUCGGGAUAUUUGAUAAAUGAUAAAACUAACAUAUUUUAAUCACAUUCUUCAUGCGUUUUUAGAUGAUUAUUUAUGCAAAUUGGUGAAUUUGAUGCUCCUAAUCCCUUUAAUUCAUGUUCUUACACUAAGGUGAGCAUUUGAGAGAAAAAAGAGAAAAAAUCAGAGAAAAACGGCAAAUUUUGUGAGCCACAUAGGCUGGGCACAUGCCCAUGUGAGACACAUAGGCUGGACACACGCCCCUGUGCCAGCCCGUGUCGAUUUCGCACCCUACUUCCCAAAUACGCAGAAAAACACAAUUUUUAGGCUUUCUGAGCAUUCUAAAGUCUAUAAAUAUCAAAUAGAAGAAGAGACAGGGGAGCCAUCAGAGCAGAUCAAAGAAAACACUCAAGGAACACCAUUAGAGCCAUCAGAUAAGAUCGAAGGAAACACUCAAAGAACACCAUUGGAGCCACUUCUGAAGCGGAUUCCUAUCAAGAUCAAAGACCUUUUAAUUUCUUCUGAAGUUUUUAUGGGUUUCUUUGUUUCUUGUGGUUUUUUUUUUUACUUUGAGAUGUUUUUAUUCAAGAUUAUGAACUAAUUCCCUAGAUACCUAGGGAGGAUGAAACCUACGACGAAUUCUAUUAUUUAAUUUAUAUUUUACAUGAUAAAUACUUGAUUCUUGUUCUCAAUUAUGUGUCUCUAUUUCUUGUUUUAAUAUUUUCAGGAUACUAAUUUAUGUUUAAUGUGCUUAAUUCAGUAGAGCAAAAGUCCCUAUUUAAGAGUAGAUCUAGCAUAAUUGAGUGGAGUUGCAUGCAAUCCUAGAAAUAGGACAACAUAAAUCUACCAAAUUAGAGUCAAAUCUAAUAGGCAAAUCCAUAGAUCUAGUUAAUGCAACAAUAGGGGUUUUAAUUAGAAAAAGGUUUCAAUUCAUCAACCUAGAGUCAGUUGUUCUUACUCUCGACAGAGAUAUUAGCAUAAUUUAGGGAUUUCUAUGGAUCAAGUCAUCAAGUGAAUAAAUCGUUUAAUUCAUAUUAAUAAUAAUAGAAGGAGUCUAGGUGGAUUGUUUUCUGGGUAUUGUCUUUCUCAUUAGUUAUCUUUCGAUUAUUUUCCUAAUUCAUUCUUUAUUGCGUUCUUAGUUAAAUUAGUUUAGUAAUUUUAGAUUAAACACUCAUCACUCCAAAUUGUCAGCUAAAUAAUAAGAUAACGGUAAUUGCUAAUAAUUUUAGUCCUUGUAGAUACGAUAUCUCUACUCCCCGUAGCUAUACUAUUGUUCGACAGGUGAGCUUGCCUUAGUCGUAAUUUUAGUUAGUACAGAAAACACACAUCAGUUAUAUUGCUUAUUCUAAUGUGUUUAAUUUGUUAACAAGCUAAUUUAUUCGUUUUACAACUUGGAAGACAAUGAAAAAUAUCAGUUUCAAGGCUUCUCACUAGGCAAAAAGUAUUAAAAAGAGCUCAGCAUGCUUCAACAACUUCUUCCCCUCCUACAAAAAUAAUUGAUGCCUCACACCAAGCACCAACUAGUGGGCCUCUUACAGCAACCACCUCAAACCAAGCACCAACAAUUAAGGCUCCUACAACUAAUAUGCCUCUUACACUGAACAAUGAAGCCUUAACCCAGCUACCAACCAUUAAACCUCCUACUCAAAGUAAGUCUCCUAUAGCAACCAAUAAAGAAAACCCAACAUCAUCUCAGCUAAUAGUUAGAUUGAGUAGAGUCCUAAAUCUAACUCCAUGAAAGACAAUCCUAAAACCAACCAUCUAGAUAUUUUAAUUAUAUGAACAAAUUCUAUGGUUGUCGUAGAUGUUUUGGUCAGAUUGAAUUUUUUUGUGCAUCAAAAUUGUUUUGGCCUCAAUUUAGAAAGCUUUUCUACAAUUCUAUUUUGUGAAUUGUUUAAUAAGAAUUUCAAGAAACAUGUGAUAAUCUAACACCCAAUGGUCAGACGGCCGACUCCUCAUGAAUUCAACUUUUAAAGUAAGUGAUGGUAAUUUAAUAUUUAAUUAAAAAAUCCAUAGGUUUUACUGUUAAAAACAUGAUAUAUGAAAUGAACUUCUAAUAAAAUUUAUCUCUUAUAAUAAUAAUAUGUCCAAUUAAUUUCAUGAAUCUAAUUACAUUUUUAAACUAGGUUUGAUAAGUUCUUAAUCAAAUACAAAAUAGAAAUUUAAACCAGGCGAUGCCCCGAUAUCUACACAUGUUACAAAAUAAAGGAUGUCAUGCUCAUACAAGGCUUUUGAGGUUACUAUCUUAGUUCAUUAAUUCCUCACGAACAACCAUUCAGAAUUACUUGAAAUGAGGAAAAGAAACAUGGUAAGUUUAAGAAGAACUUAGUGAGUUCUAAAAUAAGCUACUUCAAAUUUUAGAAUUCACCAGAGAUCUUUCUUGGCUAAAACUUAUAAGACCAUGUUCCACAACUUAUAUUUGAGCAUGAACCACAUAGUGGCGUAGUACAUUAUGCAUGAGAAUUUCCCUCUGUGGAAGAUCGUGAAGCAUAUAGUUUCUUCAUACAGAAUUGUUGCAUAAAAUCUUAAUAUAAACCUAUCAAACAGAGAUAGAGUCAUUUCGAAUAAACUUGGAGGACAAUCUUGAAGACUUUUUAAAUGCGGAUUCAUACACACGAACUCAUAAAAGAAGAUUUGUGAAUACAAAGGCUCAUUCAUGCGAAUUCAUAGAAGAAAAUUCUCAAAUAUGAUGGCCUCAAACAUGUGUACUUAUAUAUAAAGAUUCAUGAAUAUAGCAGUCCAUUCAUGCGAAAUCAUAGAAGAAACUUCCUAGAUAAAGCAGAUUUAAACAUGCAGAUUCAUAGAAAAACUUCACAAUCAUAGCAGAUUCGUACAAGCAGACUUUGUCUCGGACUUCAUAUGGCGAAAUCUCACAUAUAACUUUAACAUAAAAUUUAUUGAUUAAAUCCAAUGGACUUUCAUUUCUUUCAUAAUUUUCAUAUUUCAUGGCCAUGGACUUCCUUACACAUAUGAGGCUUAAAGCCUUAGACUCCGCAGAAUCUUAUAUGCACAUAGAACCCACAUUGGGUUAUCAUAUUCAUUUGUGCAUAUAUCUCCAUACAAUCCAAUCGAACCUCCGCAAAGUCGAAAAUCAUGCAUAUACAUUCUUUGUACUAUCCGCCCGAACCUUCGCAAAGCCAGAUAACAUGUAGCACAGAGUGCACAACAUGAUAUUUCUUCAUCUUUCAUCUGUCAAAACAACCCUCCACACUCCGCAUAUCAUUCAUAAUUAAGACAAGUAUAUAACAAGCAUUCAACUGAUCAUUUUAUCGAUGACACAACAUAUCAUACCAAACAUAACAUCUAGCGAACUAUAGUAAUGAUAACUUCAUCAAUAAUUAUUUUUCCCAGUGAAAACUUAUCAAACAAUGAACUAGAAAGUUUAAUCGAACAUACAACUGUAUAACAAUACUUUAUUUAAACCAUCCACGAUAAUUCAAAUCAUCAUCAGCAUAACAUGAAGUCAACCACAACAUGAUAACACAGUACUGAUAUAUAUAAAACAACCACAGAGAAUUUGAGUUUAGAAACUCACCAACAAAAUACAUGGGUUGACACAGCUUACACCCACUUAGCCUUCCCUUUAUCACUUGGACCUCCUCUUUCUUGGUUGGCUAAAUAUAACAGUCAUAUAAAGAUCAAAAUGAAGAUAUACAUAUGUAAGAAACCUUAACCCAUAUGCAUGCAAAAGAUUUAUAUAUGAUAUCUACGACUUAAACAUCACAUUUCAGAAUAAAUUAUACUGAAAUCCCCUAACUUUCCUUCCUUUUUCUUAAAUCGAAAGGUAUGUAAGAGUUGGAAAGAUUACCAGAUUACAAAGUUUUUAAGUAUUUAUGCUAACAUCUUAAAUUCUUCCCUUCAUGUAACUCAUUUUUUAGUUUUCCUAUCUCACAAAAUGAACCAGAGAAGAAGAAGAUAGAAAAAAGAGAAAAAAAUUAAUAUCAAAAUGAAGAGUCAUUCCUAUAUAUAAUAUUUCCACCACUACUUCACUUAAUCCCAAAUCAAUCGGUAUUAUUAUUACCCUUAAUCAUAAUGUUUCCUACUAACAGAAACUUUUAGUUCUAAUAUGACGAAACUAAAUUUAAUAUCUAACUAUUUACCCAAACAGCCCACAGGGUUCUUAUAGUUACACUAGAACCUUCUUAAAUAGAAAAUUUUCUAAUUCAGUACUCAGAAUUUUCAUAUAUCGAACCUUUAAUAUUUUCAAGUGUGACAAAUAAGAUGGAAACUUCUUUGUGAUUAUGUUUUGUGAGCUAUUUUCGUCUCAAUUUAGGAAGUUGCAUAGAAAUUUUUUGUGUUUUGCAUCAGCUUAUAACAUUCUAUAUAAUAUGGAGCAAGUUAGUGAGCAUUUAUCUUAGUGCUUCCUUUUGAUGUACUACUUGUUUGUCACAUUGGAAAAUAAAACUUUAUGUUCAUUUAUUACAUAAUUUAUGAUCAUUCAAUUUUUGAAACUUUGUAAGAAAUUUCAACAUCUCAACAGAAUUCAAAACAUGACUACCAAAUAUCAAAAGUUCCCAACUAAUUUAUUACAAUUCAUAAAAUCUUCCAAUCAAUUAUAACAUUCUAUUUACUUUCAUUACAAAUCAUGACAAUCAAAAAGAUAGAUUAGAACAUCUAAAGUAGCUUCAUGAUAAUUCGUAACAAGAUAAAUUGACACUAAUCUUAAGAACUAAAGGACAAAUUUUAUGACAAAGAAAAUAAUCCAUGACAUAAAGAAAAGCACCUUAUAAAACAAUGAUUCUUUCCUAAUCUUUGGCACAAUAAGUUUAUAUGCUCUUACCUUGUCUUUUUUAUUGUUAACUUUCUUCAACAAAUUUUGGAGUUCAUCCACGUUCAAAUUCUUCUUCAACUUAAUGUUUUCAAUAUAAAUUUCUUAAUUUCAUUCAAUAUUAUUUGAAGUUGAACUCUCAAUUUAUCAAUUACAACAUUCUAAUGUUCUCCAUCCUUUUCUAGCCAUCAAAAACAAUUCACAACAAUUCCUCUGCAUAAAAUAGAAAUCAAAUACGAAUAACUAUUUUACAAUACUAUCAUAUCAACCCAACUAACAUUUCUUCUAAAAUUCAUGUCGACUUUAACAAUUUCAAACAAAUUAACAAUUAUAAUGAUUCUGAGAUUUGCAAUAAAAUUAUAAAUAAAAUAUUCAACUCAAUUAAAAACUCGUAUAAUCAAAUUAAAAAUCAAAUAAACAAUAAAGACCUCUUUCUACUUUGACUAACCAAAAAAUUUCUUCCUUUUCCUCCAAGGCAUAUUGAAGCUACAAAUUGGUGCCCUCAAUUGAUAGUAACAAUAAACAUUGCUUAAACCAAUAGGAGAUUUUGAGCUUCUAAAUGUCUAUAUUCGUGUUUUGUUGUGGGAAAUUACAGAUUUUAGUAUCAACCCUAGGUUGAGAAGGGGAAUUUGUAAUAGAAGUUCGAGAAAGAAAGGUGUUGGGAGCUCAAAAAUUGAGCUAAGUUUUGAGAAGAAGCAAUAGAGAAAGAGUAGAAAAACCAAAAAGGAGGAAGGAAAACUAAUUUUCAUUCAACAAAUUCAUAAUUGUUUCCCCAUACACUCAUGCUAAAAAAAAAAGAAAAUACCAAGAAACUGACGGGCUCGUUCGGUUAUAAAAAACUCAUCGUUUCACUAAAAUGCUACGCCCCGUUUUACCAAUUAAUCCUUUAGGCCAAAACUCACCAUUUUAUUUUAGACUCUUCAGUUUUUUUCUACGUAAUUU